This 1720-nucleotide long non-coding RNA is filed under the name Homo sapiens (human). RNAcentral's name for it is "HSALNT0382278". The record is from RNAcentral. Lineage: Eukaryota; Metazoa; Chordata; Mammalia; Primates; Hominidae.
GCGAAGCCCUUUUCCCUAUUCCUGGAGCUGUGUUCCACCUGCCGCCUGGCACUCAGGCCCCACCCUUCCUGCUCUUGGUGCCUCAAGUAGUCUCCACCAACCCUGUGGUGUGGCCAGCCCCAUGCUGCUCAAGCUGCAGCAAAAGAGGAAGCAGACACUGCUCUCAAGAGUGUUGCAGCUUGAUCGGUAAAACAGCUACUUCUGUUGAAGAAUCUACCAGCCAUCGUGCCUCUUUGGACCAAGGACCCCUGAGACACCAGCUCCUGUGCCUGUCCUAACCUCCCCCGAGAGCUGCUUCCUCCUUGCCUGUGAGAAGGCCUUAGCAGCAUGAGCCCAGCUGCUCUACCUUCUCCUCCCCUUCCUCCAGCAAGGUGAGCUCUAUAUCCCCAGCCCAGAGAAGUGGGCUUGCUCCUCAAAUGUCCAGGGGCCAGCCCCAAGCUGUGAUGAUUCAGGGAGAUUCCAGGGUGAGGGAGAGCAGGGAAUGAUUAAUCUCACAGCUAAUAGAUAACUGUGCCCACCCCCUACCCACAGGAGACAGCACUUGGAGCUAUAUCACUAGGAGGGGCCAGGGGUUAAAUGUGGCCACUAGAGAGCCCAUAGUUCUGGGAGGGGCAAGCCCCUGAGGCUGGAUCUGGGGCUGGCUCUUGGGGAAGGAGGGAUCUUGCUGGCUGGACAGCAAGAAGAAUCUGGGUAGACAGAUGUGGCUCAUAGUCAGCCCUGCUUCCUCAUGCCAUGUCUGGGGCCUGGAGUCUGAGGAAGCAGCCUGUGAGGACAAACUACCCAUGCAAUGAGACUCAGGGGAGUGUGUCUGUCUUCCAGAGACGCCCCCGCCUCCUGACUUGGCCUUUCCUUCCCUGUGAGUCCUGUCCCACCCCCACAUUUGGGCAGCUGAGUUGGAUGAGGUGGGAAAUGUAGGCAGUGUGAUUUUGUAGCAAAUGGCAGCUCAAAGCUGUGUGAUCUUGGGCAAAAUGUUAACCCUUUCUGAGCUUUGGUUCCCAUCCUUAUUCAGUGAGGCAAUCAGGGCUGCUCUGUGGGCUGAAUGAGACCACGCAGGUAAAGCUCUUAACACGGAUGGUUAUGAGCUCCAGGCAUGCUCGCUUUUCCCUGCUAACCAACCUUGGGCUUGGCAAGUUCUCUCUAGUGCAGCUCUGGGUGGCAGUGACUUCAGUUUAAACCCAGCUCAGCACCUUAAGGGGUGGGGUGUGAACUGGCCUCAAGGGGCCCAGUUAGAGCCCUUGUGGAAGCACAGGGCAAAGCCAGCUCUCCAAUCUCUCUGCAGAAACUCCUGAGGCUGAGCCUCAUAACUUAUAUGAGGUCAGAGCAGCCCUCGAAGGUCCUGGCCAGCAGCCGGUGGAUUCAGAGCGGGGAGCCCUCUCAGAGUUUUCCAUCCUUCAGCCAACAAGUGAAGACCUGCUGUCUACACCACUGGGGCCGAGGGAGUGAACUUGCAGCUCCAGAAGCAGCACACACACAGGAGGUGUUGCUGUGGACCAGGAGGACUGCACACACGUUCAGAGCAGGAGAUAAAGGGGUCGAGGAAGGCCUCCGGGAUGAAGGGCCUUGAGCAGGACCCUGAGAACACAUUGGAUUUAGGACCCUGGCUGAUAUACCUGCUGUGUGAGCCCCUCUCCAUGGCCCAAUCUCUCGCCCCGCCUGAUGUCCUGGUAUUACUGCUGUCAUCGUCACCACCAGCCCCUUCACACCCCCAACUUUUAGUGAG